Molecule: ribosomal RNA, 497 nt
Filed under: uncultured bacterium
Lineage: Bacteria
Description: partial 16S ribosomal RNA
Rfam family: Bacterial small subunit ribosomal RNA
Source: RNAcentral
GAUGAACGCUGGCGGCGUGCCUAAUACAUGCAAGUCGAGCGAACAGACGAGGAGCUUGUUCCUCUGACGUUAGCGGCGGACGGGUGAGUAACACGUGGAUAACCUACCUAUAAGACUGGGAUAACUUCGGGAAACCGGAGCUAAUACCGGAUAAUAUAUUGAACCGCAUGGUUCAAUAGUGAAAGACGGUUUUGCUGUCACUUAUAGAUGGAUCCGCGCCGCAUUAGCUAGUUGGUAAGGUAACGGCUUACCAAGGCGACGAUGCGAAGCCGACCUGAGAGGGUGAUCGGCCACACUGGAACGGAGACGCGGUCCAGACUCCUACGGGAGGCAGCAGUAGGGAAUCUUCGGCAAUGGGCGAAAGCCUGACGGAGCAACGCCGCGUGGGUGAUGAAGGUCUUCGGAUCGUAAAACUCUGUUAUUAGGGAAGAACAAAUGUGUAAGUAAAUAUGCACGUCUUGACGGUACCUAAUCAGAAAGCCACGGCUAACUACGUG